GAUGUUUGCAAAAUCAGGAUUAUUCCGGGACAGCUGACACAGCGACUCGACUGCAGCAGUACGAACUUCUACGAAGAGAAGAAAAUGUAUAGAAGGAAUUUUUAUCUAUGGGUCUUCCGGCGAUCUUGUCUGUCAUCUUUUCUUCGGCUUCGAUCACCCUUUGUGUAUCUAUUAUCUAUGGCUUCGAUUAACUAUCGUCUUCGAGAAGGCGAUAAUGCAAGCCGCCGUUUUUGCUGUUCGUAAAUGGAGACGUCUGAAGGGUUGCCUUGCAGAUAACAUUCUUGGAUUACCUAUAUGGACGAACUACUUGCAGAUGUUAUCAGUGACAGUCAGAUUUACUUUUAUUUCCAAAAAUAUUUCUGAUGAGGUGGUCGAAAAAUACGUAGACAUAGGAUGUUAACGAUGGUUUCCAUGAAAACAUAAUAUGUAAAUGAACACAGAGGGUAAAUCAAAAGGAGUCGAAAUGUAAAGAAACAGAGCCCCACUCUUCUUUCUCUUGGACUUGGAGUGGAGUCAUGUGUUGAAAGGGUUAUCAUUUAAACUUAUUAAACGAACAAGAAAACAAAAAAUAAGGAUUCAAAAUGUGGAGAAGUGGAAUCCUUGGAAAGUGCAAUUUUUAGAGAACGAAUGAAGUCCAAUUCACAUUAAUGUAUUUAGGAAUGAAACAUGAUCACCAUAGAGUUAUCGUUGAGAUCGUCCAAAUGGUGAGAAAGAGAAUUUCAGAUUGAUGGUAUUGAAACAACCAAUGUCUUGUCUUGAUUUGCUGUUUUCGUCUUCACCUCGCAACAUUAUGCAGCUAAUUUUCAACAGAUAAGUGAGAACAAGAGGAGAUUUACUUGAAUUCCACUAAUAGAACAAGUUUUCUUCUUUGGCAUUCCUCCUGGACUUGGUUUGCUUUUCAUAUCUGCAAACGUUGGAACGUUACAGUCUAUAAUUAAUUAAGGUGAGAAUACUUGAUAUAAUUAAUUUUAAUUGCUC
Molecule: long non-coding RNA, 978 nt
Organism: Agrilus planipennis (emerald ash borer)
Lineage: Eukaryota; Metazoa; Arthropoda; Insecta; Coleoptera; Buprestidae
Exons: 6
Source: RefSeq, a predicted model, not a curated record